This 459-nucleotide ribosomal RNA is filed under the name uncultured bacterium. RNAcentral describes it as "partial 16S ribosomal RNA". It matches the Rfam family "Bacterial small subunit ribosomal RNA", at positions 338 to 795 of the family's 1533-position model. The record is from RNAcentral.
CCUACGGGGGGCAGCAGUGGGGAAUAUUGCACAAUGGGCGAAAGCCUGAUGCAGCAACGCCGCGUGAAGGAAGACGGUUUUCGGAUUGUAAACUUCUUUUAUAUGGGAAUAAAGUGAGGAACGUGUUCCUUUUUGUAUGUACCAUAUGAAUAAGCAUCGGCUAACUCCGUGCCAGCAGCCGCGGUAAUACGGAGGAUGCGAGCGUUAUCCGGAUUUAUUGGGUUUAAAGGGUGCGUAGGUGGUUAAUUAAGUCAGCGGUGAAAGUUUGUGGCUCAACCAUAAAAUUGCCGUUGAAACUGGUUGACUUGAGUAUAUUUGAGGUAGGCGGAAUGCGUGGUGUAGCGGUGAAAUGCAUAGAUAUCACGCAGAACUCCGAUUGCGAAGGCAGCUUACUAAACUAUAACUGACACUGAAGCACGAAAGCGUGGGGAUCAAACAGGAUUAGAUACCCCUGUAGUC